AGCUUUUGCACCUGCUGCUUGUUGACAUCUGCAUGGAAUGCUAGGCCCCUACUCAACUUCACUCAGACAACUCCUUCCCCAUCACCCCUGAGGUCUCAGCUUACAUGGCACCUACUCAAGGAAGCCUUCCAGGCCUGCUAUACGGAGCUCUCACAACACCUGUAUUUUUUCACAGUAUUUAUGACAAUGGAAACACAGAAAAUCCAAGCUUACGCUGACACAUGGAACUAGAUAAAAAUGGAACCAUUUGAAGAAAAGGCGUCCAUCAUAAAUAAGGACUGUGUACAGAAACUCUGCUCACGAUGGGAAACCACCAUUUUCCCACAGAACUGGAAUGAGCAAAGAACUGAAGUCAGCCCUAGGGUUUUACUCUUUGUGGGAUAAUCUUCUUUUAAUAAUCUUUUUUUUUCCCUCCUUCCAAAAAUGGCACCAGUCCCUUGGAGAUAUUAAGGAUUUUCAAAAUCUUUGGUAGAAUCAGUGUGGCUCUAGAAUCCGUUGCUCUGGGACGCCAUCAAGUCUGUCAACAGAAAAUGGGAAAUGUCCACACCCAGGUGCCAAAGCAGAAGGUCUGCGCAGCGGGGUUCAGUGUGAGCUCCCCUCACAUGUGCCAACGUCUUCUGGGUUCAGGGCUGCUGUAGACUACGUGACAAACACGCCCAAACUCACCCAUUCGUCAAACAGCAUCCACGACCCUACCGUCACCUUUAUUCCUAAUACUAUUCCUGUGACCAACAUUUAUUCCUAAUACAGACCUGCUACUCAAACUAGUUUUGCAACCACCUUGACAUAUCCUCAGUGGUGGUUACUUUUACCUGUUUAAGUUCAAAGAAUGAGCAUUUUUGGAAGUGUCUAAGAGACAUUUGGGGUCAAGCCUGGUGCCUAACUAGACGAUCAAGCUGAGUAACACCAUCAUUUGGUUUUCAAAAUACCUGCUGCAUAUUAUCACAGGCAUGGAAAGUCCCCUUUCUCAUUAGGCUUUUCUGCAGGCACUUCCCAAAGAGGACUCGUUUUCUGCAGGCACUUCCCCCAAAAUUAUCUUGAGCUGUAGCAGCAUGUAAGGAAACUGCACUUACAUUUCCCAUGAAAGUAUGGAUCACCCACGUUAGAACCACAGGGUCGGAGGAGUUUGCUAAAAUGCAGAUUUUGGAGCCCCAUCUGGACCUAUGAGGAAAUGAAACUGGAUCCACAGAUGGAGAACAACCAGGGAGGCUGACAAGGCCUCUGAUGAGACUAGAGGACAAGAGAAGCCACCGUGGGAGAAGCAGGAGGCCCAGUGCUCGAGGCAGCGGGAAGGAACACAGAAGACUCUGACCUGAAGAUGUGUUUCAAGACUAGAAAGGAGGCCUGCACAGUGGGAGCCCCUGGGUGAGGAGGGGAUCAGACAAGAUGGGGCGAAAGGGCAGGCUGAGAAUGGGGAGUCUUUGAAGAAUCUUAAGCAGUCAAGUACUCUGGGUGGUUGGUGUUUUGUAGAGACUAUCCUGAUGCCGUGUGGAAAAGACAUUUGGAGGGGCAAGAAAUCAGAAGACCAUUCGGAUUUGGACUAGGUUGGUAAAAGUGGAAGUAGAGAGAUGUGUGAGUUGAAGGUAUGAGGUAGAAAUGACACAAGCUCAUGGGCAGAAGGCCGGGGUGGGGAGAGGGGAUCUGGGAUGACAUACCAGCUUCUACAGGGUGGAGGGCAGCACCAUGUGCUCAGAUGGGCACGGCUGAGG
Long non-coding RNA from Equus caballus (horse), 1709 nucleotides. The record is from Ensembl. Lineage: Eukaryota; Metazoa; Chordata; Mammalia; Perissodactyla; Equidae.